This 253-nucleotide ribosomal RNA is filed under the name uncultured bacterium. RNAcentral describes it as "partial 16S ribosomal RNA". It matches the Rfam family "Bacterial small subunit ribosomal RNA", at positions 524 to 776 of the family's 1533-position model. The record is from RNAcentral.
UACGUAGGUGGCAAGCGUUGUCCGGAUUUACUGGGCGUAAAGGGCGCGUAGGCGGGCUGUCAAGUCUGGGGUGAAAUCCCACGGCUCAACCGUGGAACUGCCUCGGAUACUGACGGCCUCGAGGGAGGUAGGGGCGUGCGGAACUGUGGGUGGAGCGGUGAAAUGCGCAGAUAUCGGGAGGAACACCAGUGGCGAAGGCGGCACUCUGGGCCGGUACUGACGCUGAGGAGCGAAAGCGUGGGGAGCGAACAGG